GAUGAAUAAAGGACUUGUAAGUCCCUGAGCUGCUUGAAAAGCCAUUAUAGAACUUUAUACGAACUGAAUAGAAUUUAACACGUUGCAUAUAAAAAAAAAGACACAUCCUUGAACGAACACCAAGGCCAUGGGAAACUAGCAACAUUGGCUUUCUACACAACAUGCCACCGUUAAGGACCUUGCUCCCGCACUAGAGCAAAGCUCAAUGUCAAGCCAUCUUGCUAGAGCUCGAAACUCAAAAACGUGAGGUGACAAGUGCCUAUAUAUCGUUGUAUUCUAUUGAGCUUGUUGUGUAUGAUUUUAUGAUGGCUCUUGGACAAGAGCGGUGCUGU
Molecule: unclassified non-coding RNA, 332 nt
Filed under: Hevea brasiliensis (rubber tree)
Lineage: Eukaryota; Viridiplantae; Streptophyta; Magnoliopsida; Malpighiales; Euphorbiaceae
Source: RNAcentral